GCUGGCCCGUCCCCCCGCAGCACUUACUGCCGAAAGGGGCCGUGGAGGCGGCAGCCCGCUCCGCCCCGACCGCCCGGCGUCAAGGAAAGCACUUGAAGGCUGCCUGUAGCCGUCAGGCUCCCCAGAAUUUCCUGCUCUCUGUGCAGUUGCGCCCGGGAUCCCAGCUGCCCCAUUGCCUCGGCGGGAAGUGGCACCAACAACACAGUGAUACCACCUGCAGGUCAUCAUAUCCAAAGAGAAAAGCCUCCCAGUUGUUACCUGAUUCUGAAGCACCACAGUGACUGGUCGCUCUGAGGAGCCAGGUGGAAGCAACAUGAGUCCCUGAAGUCCUUGGAGGAGUUCGUGGAAGGCCAAGUGGCUGAUACAUUUACCGAGAGGUUUGAACAACAUUUGUAGGGCCUGCAAGAAGGUUACAAUCUGAACUCAAGCAUGAGAUUGCUACAGACGUUUCUCCAAAACAGGAGAGAAAAGAGGUUCCUGGAAGAUAAUGUUUCUACCUGCUCUUGAGUUCCAUGGGGUACAGCAUCAAUAGCUCGGCGAGGGCUAAAACACGUCGAUACAGCUACCUGGCCCAGGGAACCCUCAAUUCGAACCACUGCAUAAAAGGAGUCAAGACAGGCACAUUCCCCUCUCCUUUCCACCCUCCAUUUACUCACAUGUCCUGCCCAACCCAGCAGGUUAGCCCUGGUCCUACCUGACUCGUAAGCCUCUGCUUUUUGAAUGUAAGGCGUUACCAGCUUGAAUGACUCAACUUUGCUCCUUUGCCCAAGUAGUUCUUCAUCUGCCUGCUUCUUCUCUAGUUUCUGAUAAUAUUCCUGUGAGCCCAUGGGAUGGAAAAAUGUAUCCUUAACUUCUGAGUUUAGAAUUAAGGUUCUCAAGUACAACUUCUUAGUAUACCCUUUCAUAUAGCAUUCACUCCAGAAAUAGUCCUGGCACCUCAGGCCAUUCCAGCAAUCAUUCUACAGCAUCUUAAGCACUUCAGGCCUCACACCUCCUGUCUCGGAGUCUCCAUACUGAGGACUUGAAGAGUGAGAUACCACCGCCAGAUGGAAAGGUCAAGAGCAAAGUGGAAAGCCAGGAAGCCAACCUGUCCCAGCAUCUGUACCCUUUCCACAUUCCUUAGUCCCAAGAUACAUGCUGCAUGCCAUGUAUCCUGCCCCCUCCCCAUUUUAAUUUUGUGGUCCUACCUGUGUUUUCCAAAACCAGAGUUAUUUGAUCACACCAAGACCAUCAACACCUUGAAGUACAUAGAUAGCACUACUGUCAGCUGGCCUUUUGGACAGUUUUAUACUUCUGAGGAUUUUCUCAGCACCUCUAGUAUCUUCUUAAAGAAAUUAGUAAAGUCCCAAGCUAAAAUAAAGCCAUUGACUGCUAGUCAAACAAGAAUUUGAAUAAAACUCCUUCAUUUAGGAGAAAUGCCAAAAAGGCAAGCAUAUAAAACUAUUUCACUUUCAGUGAUCCUGGAGGAGAGUUUCUGAAGCAUGGUGGAAGGAAAGAAACUGAUGUAAAUAGGAAGGAGGAAAAGGUGAGAAACUUGGUAGGGGGGCUCAUAGAGUUGAAGAGAAAGUGAAAUAUAGUUUAACCAGCCCUAAAACCCCAUAGACAAUAAUUCACCCUAUAAAGGGGAGAUAGGAAGCAGGGGGAAAUAAGUUAGAAUGUCUGCCAGCCUUUGUUCAGUUCAACAAAUUGAAUCCAUUAUUUAUGAGAUCCCUGUGUUUUAGAUUUAAAUAAGUAAAAGGUAAGCAGAUGAAUGUUUAUAACAAGACAUUUCAAAGGCCCAUAAAAGUAUACAAAAGGCAGAAAAGUUCACAUUUCCAAGCUGAAUAGUAAAAAUUCUUGGCAAAGGAUGGAGACAAAAAUCUUAAAGUACGUUUGGGGAAUUGUAAAUAUCCUAUUAUGGAAGUGUAGGAGAUACAUGGGAAUGAGCUUGGAACACCAGUUUUAGAAAUGUGGCCCCUCUCCUGUAGUGACUGUCUCUCUCCCACCUGAAUGGACAUGGCGUUUCAGAGCUGAAGAGAGGGCCCAUUUGGCCUCAAAGUCAGAAGCUGGGAAGAGCAGCUGGGGCUCACCUGGUAGUAAUAGUCAUCCAGGCGGGGGUUCUCACUCUGCAGCUGAACCAUCUGCACUUUUAUCACCCAGUCCUUCUCUUUUUGGGUCAUGAGGUCAGCACAGGGGUCUGGCUGCUGAGACCAAGGCUUCUUGACUGGGGGACUUCAAGCCAGGAGGAGCAUCCCUUCAGAACAACCCACCCCUGCCACAGUGAAAUUCCCAGCAAGUGGUGGACAGGGAGUGAACUGGCUGGGAAGGACAGGAAAGAGUGCAGAGGUGGGCAACUCUGUGGGACCCUUAAUUGUUCAGGGGCUCUGGGGGAGACACUGCAACACAAGGGACUAGCCAGCAUACUGACAGGGGGCUGUCCACCCUGCUGCUUGUCUGGGCAUUACCUCGGUGUCUGACAAUGUCGCUGCAGCUGCAGGAUCCGCUGGUGCCAAGGGUGGAGCCGGGCAAGAGGGCUGUGAAGGCUUAGAAAGAAACUUGGGCUGGCUGAAAGCAAGCUCUCUCCAUUCAUUUAGCCUCUGGUAACCUCAGCCAGACAUCUAAGGAAACCCUAUCCAUUUAUGUGAUUCCCCAAAGCCAGCCUCAUGGAAGAUCACAAAUCCUAGCUCAGCAGGGCUCACAUUGCCCUCCAAGAUACACUGUCCUGCAAUUUGGCUGCAGGAAAUCUUGACACAGUAAAAAAAUCAUUGGACCUGAUUUUUGGGCAUUCUGAAUCCUACUCUAGGUUUCUGCCAUGCCAGUUAACCUCAAGUAAAUUCUUUUUAGUCUCUCUUGGUCUCCAUCUUCUCUUCUGUGAGGCAGAAAGGAUUGAACUCUACCUCAGACUUCUCUUAAUAAGUUUCCGUAACCAUUUUUCUAGUGGCAGCUGAUAGAGUGGCCCCAUCCCUCCUUAACCACCAGCUCCUGAGAUCUGCGGAGAAGAGCUCAGCCUGUUGUGGACACUGGGGUUCCCAGCACCCGGAACCAGUACCUGAACCUAGGGGGCCAUGAGGUCGGUGGGCUGCAGAAGAGAGAUGGGUCGGGCGAGGGCAGUCGAGGUCCAAAGUGCCGUAUGGGAGAGCUGGCACUGGGAAAGGUGUCUCCUUCGUCUCCUUCCUGACAUCUCACUUUGGGUGCUUCAGCUCCAGAGCAAGGACAAGAGCAGGCUGAACGUGAUGGUAAUAAGGGGCACUUGGCUUGCUGCCUUUCAGCACCCAGUCACUUUCACACAGGAGAGAAACUCACCUGCCACAGGAAGUGCAAGGAGGCAGGUGCCAUCCCCAACACACCAGGGGCCUUCAUUCCAGGGGAGUGGAGAAGACCUCUCUAGAAAUGGAGAGAAGAAAACCCAGGCUCGAAUUAGCCCCUGUGUGUCUUCUACAUUCAUCUGUUUCCAUGGUAGGGAGGGGGACAGCAAGUCCACCGAUUUCCAGUAUCCAGGACAGUGGAAGCCUGGCCAGGACCUCUCUCCUUCCCCUGAGGGGAAGCAAGACUGGUACCUCAGGAGGAGGUUGAAGGAGGUUCUGAGUCACUUCAUUUCUACAUGGGAAUCCUUGUCUCUCUCCACUGGUUGUAGGAACCCAAGGGAGUAAACCAGGAGUGGACUGCUGAGACACAGGAGCCCGGGGUCAAAGAUGAUUCACUUUCAGUGCCAGGAACAGGGCCAUGCACCUUUGUGCAAUGCACAGCCCUGCUCGGAUCUGGUUGUUAAGGUGAAGACAACAUCAGAAACUAAGUGGGAGGGAGACAGGAGGAAAGAGGGAAGGAAGGAGAAUCCCUACUCAGGUUUAAGCUGAAAUAGAAAGUGUUAACUCAGAACCUAUCUUAGGAAGGGGUGGAGAAGAGGAGAGGGAUGUUUAGCAACAGUCCACGAGACACAGACAGUUCAGUUGUCCCCUGAGCCCUCCUGCCAUGGUACCUGGGUGUUAUGGACAGCACUGAGGAUAGCUGGAUCCCUGAGACUGUUCUCUUCUUCCUCUUCCUCCUGGUCUGGGGUUAUAUCUGGAUCCAGAUCCUCCUCCUCUUGCACCUCCUCCUCUUUUUCCUCCAGUGGAGAGGCUGAUACGAGCUCU
Manis pentadactyla (Chinese pangolin) is the source of this 4109-nucleotide long non-coding RNA. RefSeq lists it as uncharacterized. NCBI's taxonomy places the organism in Eukaryota, Metazoa, Chordata, Mammalia, Pholidota, Manidae. The transcript is spliced from 4 exons. The record is from RefSeq and is a predicted model, not a curated record.